Non-coding RNA from Coniochaeta pulveracea, 113 nucleotides. NCBI's taxonomy places the organism in Eukaryota, Fungi, Ascomycota, Sordariomycetes, Coniochaetales, Coniochaetaceae. The record is from the annotation of a GenBank genome assembly.
GCCCACUUAGCUCAGUGGUAGAGCGUGUCAACAGUGCCGUCUCCUAAGAAUUUCUUCGCCGGUUCAGCGUCUGUUUAAUGACAAGAUCAUCAGUUCGACUCUGAUAGUGGGUA